Transfer RNA from Cavia porcellus (domestic guinea pig), 64 nucleotides. It matches the Rfam family "tRNA". From Rfam's summary of the family: Transfer RNA (tRNA) molecules are approximately 80 nucleotides in length. Their secondary structure includes four short double-helical elements and three loops (D, anti-codon, and T loops). Further hydrogen bonds mediate the characteristic L-shaped molecular structure. tRNAs have two regions of fundamental functional importance: the anti-codon, which is responsible for specific mRNA codon recognition, and the 3' end, to which the tRNAs corresponding amino acid is attached (by aminoacyl-tRNA synthetases). tRNAs cope with the degeneracy of the genetic code in two manners: having more than one tRNA (with a specific anti-codon) for a particular amino acid; and 'wobble' base-pairing, i.e. permitting non-standard base-pairing at the 3rd anti-codon position. NCBI's taxonomy places the organism in Eukaryota, Metazoa, Chordata, Mammalia, Rodentia, Caviidae. The record is from Rfam.
GGGGAUUUAGCUCGGUGGCAUAAGCAUCUGCCUUGCAAGCAGGGGGUCAUGAGGUCAAUCCCCA